CACAGCGGGACUCGAUUACAGCUGCAGGAACCAAACCGACAGUGUUGCUAGGCAGAUGUAACCAGAGCUACCUUUAAUAAGGGUGGUCGUAAAAAGUCCCUCCGAGACGAUGGAGCCGCAGUCAGCACACACACGCUGGGUUUGUGAAUACAAAUCAUCGUCGACUACGUUGGCGGAGCCGCACUGCGGACAGCUCGGCAUCUCUGGCCUGGAUGCUGGGAUUCUCCUCCAUCACGCGCACCAGCAGGUUAUCGAUGUACUGCUCCAGCUCCUGGAUGCGGGCGUCGCGCUGGCACA
Molecule: non-coding RNA, 297 nt
Organism: Electrophorus electricus (electric eel)
Lineage: Eukaryota; Metazoa; Chordata; Actinopteri; Gymnotiformes; Gymnotidae
Source: RefSeq, a predicted model, not a curated record